UACGGGUGGUGCGAGCGUUGUCCGGAAUCACUGGGCGUAAAGAGCUCGUAGGCGGCUUGGCAAGUCGGGUGUGAAACCUCCAGGCUCAACCUGGAGACGCCACUCGAUACUGCUAUGGCUAGAGUCCGGUAGGGGACCACGGAAUUCCUGGUGUAGCGGUGAAAUGCGCAGAUAUCAGGAGGAACACCGGUGGCGAAGGCGGUGGUCUGGGCCGGCACUGACGCUGAGGAGCGAAAGCGUGGGUAGCAAACAGG
Molecule: ribosomal RNA, 254 nt
Filed under: uncultured bacterium
Lineage: Bacteria
Description: partial 16S ribosomal RNA
Rfam family: Bacterial small subunit ribosomal RNA
Source: RNAcentral